Molecule: ribosomal RNA, 1530 nt
Filed under: Triticum aestivum (bread wheat)
Lineage: Eukaryota; Viridiplantae; Streptophyta; Magnoliopsida; Poales; Poaceae
Description: partial small subunit ribosomal RNA
Source: RNAcentral
AUGGAUAUCCUCGUCUCUGCAAUCGUGGGUGACCUCAUCAGCAGGUCUGCAUCGUUCGUGAUUAGCAGAUACUUCCAGCAGCAACCUGACAUCAAUAAGAUUCUACAGAGGCUAUGGAGUGUCCUACUGAGAAUCGGUAUCUUCGUCGAGGAGGCCGAGGCACGGCACAUCACCAACCAGGGGAUGCUCCGUCAGCUCAAGAUGUUGAGGCAAGGAAUGUACAGAGGCCACUAUGUUCUCGAUGCCUUGCGAUUCCAAGCCGCCCGCGGCGAGGAGGAGAUGAGCCACUCGUCAUCUGCACUGUCCAAAUCCAGUCCAACCAAAUGCCUUCGUUUCUCUCGCACCCGCAGUGGCAGCAGCAGCAGCAACAGAGAAGCACUGUUGUUUGGCACAAACAACAACAUACAAGACGAGCUGCAACGGAUGGUUGAUACCCUUGAAGACACCGUGGCUGGUAUGAAGGAGUUUCUUUUCUUCAUGGAGCUGUAUCCUCGGAUCCUCCGCCAACCUUAUGGUAUGUAUUUGCUAUUGGACAACUGCAUGUUUGGUCGCCAAAUGGAACGGGAACAGGUUCUGAAUUUCUUGCUUAGUCCUGGUGCUACAUCAGACUUGGCUGUACUUCCGAUUGUUGGUCCAAUAAGAGUAGGGAAGAGCACCCUUGUUGAACAUGUCUGUAGGGAUGAGAGUGUGCGCAGUCACUUCUCGAUGAUCCUGUUCUUUCCACAAGGUAGUCUCAGGGAUGAAGGGGUGGUUGACCUGAAAAGAAACAAUAUUAAUGGUCUAGUAAGAUAUCGAAACUCUGCUUCUCAGACCAGGUUGCUGAUUAUUGUUGAAAUAGCUGAGGAUAUUAAUGAAGGAACAUGGAGAAGGCUGAAAUCCUCCACAACCGGCAUGACACCGUGCGGUGGGAGCAAAAUUAUAAUAACCAGUCGAUCAGAUAGAAUUGUGAAUCUGGGAACAACGGAAGCACUUCGACUGGACUUUCUCCCUCCAGAAGCUUACUGGCAUUUUUUCAAGUCACUUGUAUUCAGAAGCACAAACCCUGAUGAGCAGCCAAAACUAGCAACAAUGGCCAUGGAGAUCGCUUUGGAACUGCGACAGGGUUUCACAAGCGCGCAUAUCGCUUCUGGGAUAUUGCGACAUAACUUUAAUGCUCGAUUCUGGUGCACAGUUCUUGAAUGUGUAAGAGAAAGUAGACAGACAAAUCUCAAUAUGUUUGGCCAGCACCCAAACCUUCGUUUACGGGAAGAUGCACCGGUGUAUUGUUGGAGAUUGGUGAAGAGCUGCAGAUAUUUCUUGAUUCACAACUAUCAUCAGUCAGAUUCCAGUGAGAAUGUCCCUAAGAUCAAUCUGAGGGACAUCGUCUUAGGAUCUGGUGGUAAACUACCCUGUGGAGAAUUUGAGGCUCUUGCAUGGAAGUCGCGCAUACCGCCCUACUACAACUACAGGGUAAGCUGUAAGAUGCAAGCACCACAACUUACAGUAGGAAGGAAGAAGCGUGUGCGUCAAGAGGAAGAACAUUUUGUUUGA